This 557-nucleotide ribosomal RNA is filed under the name uncultured Phylloporus. Its description in RNAcentral is "eukaryotic LSU rRNA". The stretch from base 59 to 213 matches the Rfam family "5.8S ribosomal RNA". The record is from RNAcentral. Lineage: Eukaryota; Fungi; Basidiomycota; Agaricomycetes; Boletales; Boletaceae.
UUUCAUCAUAUCACACANUGUCGUAUGGCUAGAAUGAAAUCAUGAUAUACAUAUAUACAACUUUCAGCAACGGAUCUCUUGGCUCUCGCAUCGAUGAAGAACGCAGCGAAUUGCGAUAAGUAAUGUGAAUUGCAGAUUUCCAGUGAAUCAUCGAAUCUUUGAACGCAUCUUGCGCUCCUUGGUAUUCUGAGGAGCAUGCCUGUUUGAGUGUCAUUGAAUUCUCAACCAUCUUCUCUUUCUUUGAGGGGGGGAUGGCUUGGAGUUGGGGGCUGCUGGCAGGGGGAACUGUCAGCUCUCCUUAAAUGCAUCAGCGAUCAAGUUGGCUAGUCUUUUGACGUGCACGGCUUUGGACGUGAUAAUGAUCGUCAUGGCUGGAGCGUCUUUCUAGUACAUCAGAUGGCUUCUAAUCUCAAGAGAAAGAGAGUGAUCGAGCUUUCCAAUGCCUACUAGGCAGUCUAAAUUAACGAGGCUGGCCGAACGCAGAGAGAGGCAAGAUCUAUCCCUCGACUCAGAUCUCAGAGACUUGACCUCAAAUCAGGUAGGACUACCCGCUGAAC